Molecule: long non-coding RNA, 1602 nt
Filed under: Bemisia tabaci
Lineage: Eukaryota; Metazoa; Arthropoda; Insecta; Hemiptera; Aleyrodidae
Description: lncRNA ENSSSA2NGG010725
Source: RNAcentral
UUAUGGCUGGAUAUCGCAAGAACUCCUUUUCUCUGUAGGAUUUUUUUUAGCGUAAGCGCUAUGAGCGCCUUCAGAAAAAUGGUCAUGCACCCCGCACGGAGUCAUUUGAUGUGUUACUCACUAAUAAUCCCGGAGAAGGCUGUAUGGAGAGCGUGAAUGCCAAUUUUAAGAACAUGAGUGCUGUACCUAUGUAGUCUAUAUUUUUAUAAUGGGAUCUGAUUUGUUUUGUUUUUCUUGUUGAUUUCUUCUUUACAUCUGUACCAAUAGAAUUCAUGCUAACUUCGAAGCAAAGACAAAUCGUAAUAUUUGCUGUAUUUUUUCUAUUCUAAUAGAAUCACGCAAAUAUAAUAGAGCAUCAGCCAUGCAGAAUGAAGAAAAUGUAUAUUAAUUUGAGAGUAGAUACGAAAAAUAUUACGAAACUAACAAUAAGAAAGAAAUAGAACUCUGAAAGAGAAGAAAUAUAAGAAGAAAGAAGAAAUAUAACUCUGGGGCACUAAAGAGAAUGGGCUUUGACCCAAGGACAAAAUAAGUUUAAUCCAGGUGAUAUCCGCCAGAUUAAAAGUCUCUGAGGUAAUCAAAUUCAGUUACGCGAUUAGAAUACACGUAUAAUGCAAAUAUCAGAUGAUCAUAAUAUUACACUCACAGUCGUCUGAAUCUGAACGACCGAUUGCAAAGAACGAUAUCACACAAGUUGACGGAGCUACAUUGAAUUUUACACAUGAGUGCACCGCGAGAAAUCAUAGAGGUCAGUUGUACGACACAGGUAGACGAGCACUAGUAUCGGGACAGAACUGAAAAAGCUUACGUUCUUGAGUGGAUCAAAUUCAAUUCAAUCGAUGAUCGACGUGAUUUUUAAUGGAGAGUCAACCUAUAACAUGAAAUCACGCCUCCAACAAUUUUCAUUUUAGAGCCAAGAGCAAUCUGCGCGGAACGUGAGAUAACGCAGAAAUGAAGAAAAAAAGACAACAGAAACAGAGAUCAUGACGGCGACGUCACAGUCAAAAGUCUAAUAAUCAUUGACAUGAGCUUUGCUGCGUUGCCGAAUUUCUCAAUGGAGGCGAAAUAUAUUAAUCAUGAACGCUUUGAAUAAUUCAAUGUAAGUGCAGAAAUCACGAUUGAGCUUGGCGAUGACUCAACUACAAAUUGAAGAGGUUACGUACCAAAUCCGGUAGAAAUGUGAAUUUGUUGAAGUUUUUCCGACGAGUGAAUAGUAAGUAGGAACUUUAGAACGGUGCACGUUUGCAAAAAGACCCACCCAGAGAAAUGUAAUUGAUAGAACUGUCUUCGACUGAUAACGCUCGUGCUCGAUAGCUUUGAUUUUACGGAAUUUGCCUCCUAAUCCACUAGAUAAACUUCUAAAUAGGCCUUUGGCAUGGCGACAGUAAACUGGCGGUGAAACUAGGGAACCCUGUUUUGUUGGUUUGUAGGUUGCAAAUUUCCUAUUAAACAUUGCGUUUAACUGUUUUACAUCAUUGAAUUUGUCAUGUUAUUUUUUAUAAUAGUUACUGCAAUUUUUCCCCCAAAAAUAUCAUGUGAACAUUUUGAAUAGUUAACUUUUGAAAGUAAAGUAGGGUGAGAGGGUGUGUGUGUUUUUUUUUGUUU